AACGAACGCUGGCGGCAUGCCUAACACAUGCAAGUCGAACGAGACCUUCGGGUCUAGUGGCGCACGGGUGCGUAACGCGUGGGAACCUGCCUUUAGGUUCGGAAUAACUCAGAGAAAUUUGAGCUAAUACCGGAUAAUGUCUUCGGACCAAAGAUUUAUCGCCUUUAGAUGGGCCCGCGUAAGAUUAGCUAGUUGGUGGGGUAAAGGCCUACCAAGGCGACGAUCUUUAGCUGGUCUGAGAGGAUGAUCAGCCACACUGGGACUGAGACACGGCCCAGACUCCUACGGGAGGCAGCAGUGGGGAAUAUUGGACAAUGGGCGAAAGCCUGAUCCAGCAAUGCCGCGUGAGUGAUGAAGGCCUUAGGGUUGUAAAGCUCUUUUACCCGAGAUGAUAAUGACAGUAUCGGAGAAUAAGCUCCGGCUAACUCCGUGCCAGCAGCCGCG
RNAcentral lists this ribosomal RNA (444 nucleotides) under uncultured bacterium. RNAcentral's name for it is "bacterial SSU rRNA". It matches the Rfam family "Bacterial small subunit ribosomal RNA", at positions 29 to 519 of the family's 1533-position model. The record is from RNAcentral.